GACGAACGCUGGCGGCGUGCCUAAUACAUGCAAGUUGAGCGAUGAGGGUUGGUGCUUGUCCCAACUGGAUGAGCAGCGAACGGGUGAGUAACGCGUGGGGAAUCUGCCUUUGAGCGGGGGACAACAUUUGGAAACGAAUGCUAAUACCGCAUAAAAACUUUAAACACAAGUUUUAAGAUUGAAAGAUGCAAUUGCAUCACUCAAAGAUGAUCUCGCGUUGUAUUAGGUAGUUGGUGAGGUAAAGGCCCACCAAGGCGAUGAUACCUAGCCGACCUGAGAGGGUGAUCGGCCACAUUGGGACUGAGACACGGCCCAAGAUCCCACGGGAGGCAGCCGUAGGGGAACUUCGGCAAAGGAGGAAAGUCUUGCCGGAGAACGGCGCGGGGGUGAAAAAAGGUUUCGGAUCCGAAAACUCUGUUGGUAGAGAAGAACGAUAGGGAGAGUGGAAAGCGCAUGAAGUGACGGUAACUACCCAGAAAGGGACGGCUAACUACGUG
RNAcentral lists this ribosomal RNA (497 nucleotides) under uncultured bacterium. RNAcentral's name for it is "partial 16S ribosomal RNA". It matches the Rfam family "Bacterial small subunit ribosomal RNA", at positions 28 to 507 of the family's 1533-position model. The record is from RNAcentral.